CACAUUUAUACGCUUGGAUAUGAUUGGCACUAAUCGCCGGAUGACAUACAUCGCUGUUUCAUGACAGAAUUUUUUUCUGACCUAGCUCAGGUUCGUGACAUCCCCGCUUCGAACCUUCUAAGCCAUUAUAACUAAGCGGAGGAACUAGAAACACUAACGAGGUGAUCUCCCUUAGUAGUUAAUCUGGCGAGUGAAACUCGGGAAAAGCCCAGCGCUGAAUCCAUAAUCAACCUACAUUGGUUGUGGAUAUUUGUUAGAACGUAUUAUAGAUUGCCGACAAUUAUUUCCGGUUUUCGAAUAUUCGUGCACCCAAAAGUCCCCUUGAGCGUGGUAGUACUAUGGGGGCCUUGAAUAGUCCCACAAAUGUAGGUGCUAGGAUCCUGUACGGGUGUGCGAAGCGAAUUGGUAUGAUCGCUCCUUGGAGUCGGGUUGCCUUGGAUCGCAGCCCAAAGUUUCUGGAUGCGUAGAUCUCAUCUAAGGCUAAAUAUUGGCUACGAACAACCGAUAGCAAAAUCAAGUUACCGUGAGGGGAAAGUUGCAAUAGAACUUGAAGAAGAGAGUUCAAGAGGGCGUGUAAACCCGUUGAGAUUUGAAAUAACGGAUUAGUAGUUAACGGAAACUCGGCUGCAUUUCAUUCCGAUCGGCUUAAUUGGUUUCUUUCAAUAGCGUUUGCAUUCUCUCGCAUGUAAGUAGCAAGGCGUUAUCUAUAACUAUUACAGGUAAUUUGAUCGGUGUUAUUUUGCGGCUUGGUAUGCGCUGAGAGUUUUUGUGAUUCGUUAUGUUAACGGAUGUGUAAGUUGGACCAUUCUUUUCGGCGUGGAAGCCCUUCAUAUCUAUUAGGGCAUAUCGUGAUUUAUUAAAGAUUUAAACGUAUCGUCUCCGCAUUUGGUACGUCGCCUUAUGUCUACUAAUUGUUGGAUUAUAUUGAAAUAUUCGUGAUUUAGAUUGCGCAAUUAUUUUGUGGUUCAACAAUAUUACGAUAAAUGAGUGAUAUGGUACGCGUUGAUAGGAACGUAUAUCUCUGGUAAUGGUGUCGUUUUUUCAUUUGUUGUUUUGGUCUAGAUCUUUGUCCGUAAAUCUAUUUUUUUUCUGUGAAAUCGGCUUGGACCAUCUUAUUUUCCUGACGGCCCGUCUGAAACAUCCGCCCGCCUCCUCUGCAUAUGGUGUCGCGUAGUCAUUGGGUGGGUAAACCUUAAGGGCCUCUCUCCUCCGUAUAUAUGAUAAGUAAAAUGGUCACCUCCGAUGUGGCGUAUAUUGGGAUCGGAUGAGUCUUAUGAGCAAUUCGGUGCGCACCAUAGCCCCGUCGCUCAUUUGCUUUUGCAAUAGGGCGGAGGUGAGCGCAUAUGGCUGGAUCCCGUAAAGAUCGGUGAACUAUGCCUGAGCAGGAAUGCAGAGCCACGCAGGAAACUCCUAGGUUGAAGUCCGAAGCGGUUACUGACGUGCAAUAUCGAUUCGGUUCUGGACCUGUGGGUAUAGGGGCGAAAAGACUAAUUCGAACCAUCUAGUAGCUCGGUUCCUCUGUGAAGUUUUAAUAUUCCCGUACCUGGACACGGAGAAUAGCGCUCAUUGCGAGUGUUUAGCGCGGUAACGCAAACGAACUCGGUAACGUUGAAUAGAGCCCGAGCUAGAGUUCUCUUUUCUAGUUAAGGAACGAAUUCCCUGGAAUCGGUUCAGCCGGAGAUAGGGAUGUGUUUUCCGUAAAGCGCCACGGUUCCUGUGGUGUCUCGUGCGCUCUAUUCGGCCCUUGAAAAACCGAGGGAGGCUAUUUGAAUUUCGUGCCAGGCCGUACCGAUAUCCGCAGCAGGUCUCCAAGGUGAACAGCCUCUAGUCGAUAGAAUAAUGUAGGUAAGGGAAGUCGGCAAAUUAGAUCCGUAACUUCGGGAAAAGGAUUGGCUCUAAGGACUGGCCGGUCGGGCUGCAGUGUGAAGUGAGCUCGGUUUGAUCCAUGCAGUGCAACGCUCGGAAACGGGUGGCGCUCGGCUAGCGUUCGAACUGUCUUAUGGACCGCUGCAGCUGUGUACCGCGUCAAUAAUGGCGUUGGUGUUCGGCGGGCGCUAAACAGUCGACUUAGAACUGGCACGGACUCGGGGAAUCCGACUGUCUAAUUAAAACAGAGGAGACAGAUGGCCCUUGCGAGCGUUGACUGUCUCUGAUUUCUGCCCAGUGCUCUGAAUGUAAAAGUGAAGAAAUUCAACCAAGCGCGGGUUAAACGGCGGAGUAACUANNNNNNNNNNNNNNNNNNNAAAUGCCUCGUCAUCUAAUUAAUGACGCGCAUGAAUGGAUUAACGAGAUUCCCACUGUCCCUAUCUACUAUCUAGCGAAACCACAGCCAAGGGAACGGGCUUGGCGAACACAGCGGGGAAAGAAGACCCUGUUGAGCUUGACUCUAGUCCGACUCUGUGAAGAGUCAUGAGAGGUGUAGCAUAAAGUGGGAGGCUUUCGCCAACAGUGAAAUACCACUACUUUCAUCGAUUCUUUACUUAUUCGGUAAGACGAGAAUUGAGCCUAUCCGGCUCUUGAUUCUGGUGUUAAGUGCAGCCACUCGGUGGCCGUUCGACUCGCGCCGAAGACAGUGUCAGGCGGGGAGUUUGACUGGGGCGGUACAUCUGUCAAAUCGUAACGCAGGUGUCCUAAGGCUAGCUCAGAGAGGACGGAAACCUCUCGUAGAGCAAAAGGGCAAAAGCUCGCUUGAUCUUGAUUUUCAGUACGAAUACAGACCGCGAAAGCGUGGCCUAUCGAUCCUUUUGAAUUAGAAGGUCUCUAGCAAGAGGUGUCAGAAAAGUUACCACAGGGAUAACUGGCUUGUGGCAGCCAAGCGUCCAUAGCGACGUUGCUUUUUGAUCCUUCGAUGUCGGCUCUUCCUAUCAUUGCGAAGCAGAAUUCGCCAAGCGUUGGAUUGUUCACCCCCCAAUAGGGAACGUGAGCUGGUUUAGACCGUCGUGAGACAGGUUAGUUUUACCCUACUGUGACUCGUUGUUGCGAUAGUAAUCCUGCUUAGUACGAGAGGAACCGCAGGUUCAGACAUUUGGUUCAUGUGCUUGGCCGAUCGGCCAAUGGUGCGAAGCUACCAUCUGAGGGAUUAUGACUGAACGCCUCUAAGUCAGAAUCCCGCCUAGUGAAGGCAACGAUAAAUUUGCUCCCCGGUGUCGGGAGGCACUUCUAUGUGACUAUUGAAGUUACAGCUAAUGCCCCAUUAUAUGGCCUUACCGAGCGAUUGAAAGGUCGUGCGGUUGCCAAAGCCGGACUACACGGUACAAUGUCGGGCGCAAAAUCACUUGCAGACGACUUUAUUACUGGUCAAGGUGUUGUAUCCAGUAGAGCAGCCUCCAUACUGCGAUCUGUUGAGACUCAUCCUUUGAUUGGACGAUUUGU
Molecule: ribosomal RNA, 3372 nt
Filed under: Parascaris univalens
Lineage: Eukaryota; Metazoa; Nematoda; Chromadorea; Rhabditida; Ascarididae
Description: eukaryotic LSU rRNA
Rfam family: Eukaryotic large subunit ribosomal RNA
Source: RNAcentral